RNAcentral lists this ribosomal RNA (350 nucleotides) under uncultured bacterium. Its description in RNAcentral is "bacterial SSU rRNA". It matches the Rfam family "Bacterial small subunit ribosomal RNA", at positions 8 to 353 of the family's 1533-position model. The record is from RNAcentral.
AGAGUUUGAUCCUGGCUCAGGACGAACGCUGGCGGCGCGCCUAACACAUGCAAGUCGAACGAGCGAGAGAGAGCUUGCUUUCUCGAGCGAGUGGCGAACGGGUGAGUAACGCGUGAGGAACCUGCCUCAAAGAGGGGGACAACAGUUGGAAACGACUGCUAAUACCGCAUAAGCCCACGACCCGGCAUCGGGUAGAGGGAAAAGGAGAAAUCCGCUUUGAGAUGGCCUCGCGUCCGAUUAGCUAGUUGGUGAGGUAACGGCCCACCAAGGCGACGAUCGGUAGCCGGACUGAGAGGUUGAACGGCCACAUUGGGACUGAGACACGGCCCAGACUCCUACGGGAGGCAGAA